Molecule: long non-coding RNA, 392 nt
Organism: Cyprinus carpio carpio
Lineage: Eukaryota; Metazoa; Chordata; Actinopteri; Cypriniformes; Cyprinidae
Source: Ensembl
UAGCGGAAUGACAAUAAAGCUCAACUUGAACUUGAAUCAUCAGACACUCAAGAUGGCAAUAUCCUGGUGGCCUGUACAAGGCAAACGAAAACAAGGAAAAAAAUUACCUGGUGAAAAACUUUUAUGGAAGCUCUGCGAGCAGUCGACAUAUCAUGGGACGAGACAGAAGUCACGGCCGCGGAUCGAAGCCAUUGGUGAAUGCUUGUUGCCCUAUGCGCCUGAAUGGCGCCGGUGGAAUUAAGGUUAAGUUUUGCCUGUUGCUGGGAGAGAACCAUCCAUCCCUGUCUACCCGCUACCCGCCCCUGCUCUGAGAGACCGGCGGUCGGUCGCCGCUAUCGCUACAGACCCAGACUGCUGCCAAGGGGUCCAAUUCAAGUCACCUGCUAUCUUUU